AGCAGUAGCCGCGGGAAUACGUAGGUCCCGGGCGUUGUCCGGAUUUAUUGGGCGUAAAGGGAGCGCAGGCGGUUUAGUAAGUCUGAAGUUAAAGGCAUUGGCUCAACCAAUGUAUGCUUUGGAAACUGUUAGACCUGAGUGCAGAAGGGGAGAGUGGAAUUCCAUGUGUAGCGGUGAAAUGCGUAGAUAUAUGGAGGAACACCGGUGGCGAAAGCGGCUCUCUGGUCUGUCACUGACGCUGAGGCUCGAAAGCGUGGGUAGCGAACAGGAUUAGAUACCCGCGUAGUCCCUGUCUCUUAUACA
RNAcentral lists this ribosomal RNA (303 nucleotides) under uncultured bacterium. Its description in RNAcentral is "partial 16S ribosomal RNA". It matches the Rfam family "Bacterial small subunit ribosomal RNA", at positions 507 to 808 of the family's 1533-position model. The record is from RNAcentral.